AUGAACGCUGGCGGCGUGCCUAAUACAUGCAAGUCGAGCGAACGGACGAGAAGCUUGCUUCUCUGAUGUUAGCGGCGGACGGGUGAGUAACACGUGGAUAACCUACCUAUAAGACUGGGAUAACUUCGGGAAACCGGAGCUAAUACCGGAUAAUAUUUUGAACCGCAUGGUUCAAAGGUGAAAGACGGUCUUGCUGUCACUUAUAGAUGGAUCCGCGCUGCAAUAGCUAGUUGGUAAGGUAACGGCUUACCAAGGCAACGAUGCAUAGCCGACCUGAGAGGGUGAUCGGCCACACUGGAACUGAGACACGGUCCAGACUCCUACGGGAGGCAGCAGUAGGGAAUCUUCCGCAAUGGGCGAAAGCCUGACGGAGCAACGCCGCGUGAGUGAUGAAGGUCUUCGGAUCGUAAAACUCUGUUAUUAGGGAAGAACAUAUGUGUAAGUAACUGUGCACAUCUUGACGGUACCUAAUCAGAAAGCCACGGCUAACUACGUG
Molecule: ribosomal RNA, 496 nt
Filed under: uncultured bacterium
Lineage: Bacteria
Description: partial 16S ribosomal RNA
Rfam family: Bacterial small subunit ribosomal RNA
Source: RNAcentral